RNAcentral lists this ribosomal RNA (1382 nucleotides) under uncultured bacterium. Its description in RNAcentral is "bacterial SSU rRNA". It matches the Rfam family "Bacterial small subunit ribosomal RNA", at positions 18 to 1395 of the family's 1533-position model. The record is from RNAcentral.
CCUGGCUCCGUUUGAGGCUAGCUACAGGCUUAACACAUGCAAGUCGAGGGGCAUCAGGAAGAAAGCUUGCUUUCUUUGCUGGCGACCGGCGCACGGGUGAGUAACACGUAUCCAACCUGCCCUUUACUCGGGGAUAGCCUUUCGAAAGAAAGAUUAAUACCCGAUAGCAUAAUGAUUCCGCAUGGUUUCAUUAUUAAAGGAUUCCGGUAAAGGAUGGGGAUGCGUUCCAUUAGGUUGUUGGUGAGGUAACGGCUCACCAAGCCUUCGAUGGAUAGGGGUUCUGAGAGGAAGGUCCCCCACAUUGGAACUGAGACACGGUCCAAACUCCUACGGGAGGCAGCAGUGAGGAAUAUUGGUCAAUGGGCGCGAGCCUGAACCAGCCAAGUAGCGUGAAGGAUGACUGCCCUAUGGGUUGUAAACUUCUUUUAUAUUAGAAUAAAGUGCAGUAUGUAUACUGUUUUGUAUGUAUAAUAUGAAUAAGGAUCGGCUAACUCCGUGCCAGCAGCCGCGGUAAUACGGAGGAUCCGAGCGUUAUCCGGAUUUAUUGGGUUUAAAGGGAGCGUAGGUGGACUGGUAAGUCAGUUGUGAAAGUUUGCGGCUCAACCGUAAAAUUGCAGUUGAUACUGUCAGUCUUGAGUACAGUAGAGGUGGGCGGAAUUCGUGGUGUAGCGGUGAAAUGCUUAGAUAUCACGAAGAACUCCGAUUGCGAAGGCAGCUCACUGGACUGCAACUGACACUGAUGCUCGAAAGUGUGGGUAUCAAACAGGAUUAGAUACCCUGGUAGUCCACACAGUAAACGAUGAAUACUCGCUGUUUGCGAUAUACAGUAAGCGGCCAAGCGAAAGCAUUAAGUAUUCCACCUGGGGAGUACGCCGGCAACGGUGAAACUCAAAGGAAUUGACGGGGGCCCGCACAAGCGGAGGAACAUGUGGUUUAAUUCGAUGAUACGCGAGGAACCUUACCCGGGCUUAAAUUGCAGUGGAAUGAUGUGGAAACAUGUCAGUGAGCAAUCACCGCUGUGAAGGUGCUGCAUGGUUGUCGUCAGCUCGUGCCGUGAGGUGUCGGCUUAAGUGCCAUAACGAGCGCAACCCUUAUCUUUAGUUACUAACAGGUCAUGCUGAGGACUCUAGAGAGACUGCCGUCGUAAGAUGUGAGGAAGGUGGGGAUGACGUCAAAUCAGCACGGCCCUUACGUCCGGGGCUACACACGUGUUACAAUGGGGGGUACAGAAGGCAGCUACCUGGUGACAGGAUGCUAAUCCCAAAAGCCUCUCUCAGUUCGGAUCGAAGUCUGCAACCCGACUUCGUGAAGCUGGAUUCGCUAGUAAUCGCGCAUCAGCCACGGCGCGGUGAAUACGUUCCCGGGCCUUGUACACACCGCCC